RNAcentral lists this ribosomal RNA (774 nucleotides) under uncultured Neocallimastigales. Its description in RNAcentral is "partial large subunit ribosomal RNA". It matches the Rfam family "Eukaryotic large subunit ribosomal RNA", at positions 26 to 639 of the family's 3401-position model. Lineage: Eukaryota; Fungi; Neocallimastigomycota; Neocallimastigomycetes; Neocallimastigales. The record is from RNAcentral.
CGCAUCUGUGCAUGCAGCAUAUCAAUAAGCGGAGGAAAAGAAACUAACAAGGAUUCCCUUAGUAACGGCGAGUGAAGCGGGAAGAGCUCAAAUUUGAAAUCUUCAAGGUUUUACCUUGACGAAUUGUAGUUUAAAGAAGUGUUUUCUGUUGAAGUUUUGGUAAAAGUUCUUUAGAAUAGGACAUCAUAGAGGGUGAGAAUCCCGUAUUUGACCAUUAUUUUCAGCUGUGUGAUACACUUUCAAAGAGUCGGAUUGUUUGGGAAUGCAGUCCAAAAUGGGUGGUAAAUUUCAUCUAAAGCUAAAUAUUGGCGAGAGACCGAUAGCGAACAAGUACCGUGAGGGAAAGAUGAAAAGAACUUUGAAAAGAGAGUUAAACAGUACGUGAAAUUGUCAAAAGGGAAGCGUUUGACACCAGUGUUGUUUUCUCGAAAAUCAAUUAAAAAGAGUUUGAUUUUGUUGUGUAUUGACCUUAACAGCUUGCAUUUCAAUUUUCUUGCUUUUUUUAAUGCACUUUUCGUUUAACAAGUCAACAUCAGUUUCUUUUGUUGUAAAAAGGUCAUUGGAAGGUGGCUUUACUUUUCGGAGAAAGUGUUUAUAGCCUCUGACUCCUGCAAUCGGAGAGACUGAGGUCUGCAGCGUAGAUCCUUCGGGGUUAGAUACAUUUGUGCUAAGUUAUAGCUUUUUAUAGACAACUUGUUGACUAUGAUUAGUCUUGUAGCUUACUCGCUUAUGCUAUUUUACCUACGCUUAGGAUGUUGACGCGCGUGUGUGCGU